ACGGAAGGCAGCAGUGGGGAAUAUUGCACAAUGGGGGAAACCCUGAUGCAGCGACGCCGCGUGAGUGAAGAAGUAUUUCGGUAUGUAAAGCUCUAUCAGCAGGGAAGAAAAUGACGGUACCUGACUAAGAAGCCCCGGCUAACUACGUGCCAGCAGCCGCGGUAAUACGUAGGUGGCAAGCGUUGUCCGGAAUUACUGGGUGUAAAGGGAGCGCAGGCGGGACUGCAAGUUGGAUGUGAAAUACCGAGGCUUAACCACGGAGCUGCAUCCAAAACUGUAGUUCUUGAGUGAAGUAGAGGCAGGCGGAAUUCCGAGUGUAGCGGUGAAAUGCGUAGAUAUUCGGAGGAACACCAGUGGCGAAGGCGGCCUGCUGGGCUCUAACUGACGCUGAGGCUCGAAAGUGUGGGGAGCAAACAGGAUUAGAUACCCUGGUA
This 434-nucleotide ribosomal RNA is filed under the name uncultured Clostridium sp. Its description in RNAcentral is "partial 16S ribosomal RNA". It matches the Rfam family "Bacterial small subunit ribosomal RNA", at positions 341 to 792 of the family's 1533-position model. Lineage: Bacteria; Bacillati; Bacillota; Clostridia; Eubacteriales; Clostridiaceae. The record is from RNAcentral.